This 439-nucleotide ribosomal RNA is filed under the name uncultured bacterium. RNAcentral's name for it is "bacterial SSU rRNA". It matches the Rfam family "Bacterial small subunit ribosomal RNA", at positions 958 to 1398 of the family's 1533-position model. The record is from RNAcentral.
AACGCGAAGAACCUUACCUGGGCUUGACAUGUUUCUGACCGCCGUGGAAACACGGUUUCUCUUCGGAGCAGAAUCACAGGUGGUGCAUGGCUGUCGUCAGCUCGUGUCGUGAGAUGUUGGGUUAAGUCCCGCAACGAGCGCAACCCCCGUCGUAUGUUGCCAGCAUUUAGUUGGGGACUCAUACGAGACUGCCGGUGACAAACCGGAGGAAGGUGGGGAUGACGUCAAGUCAUCAUGCCCCUUAUGUCCAGGGCUACACACGUGCUACAUUGGCGCGUACAGAGGGCUGCAAGACCGCGAGGUGGAGCGAAUCCCUUAAAGCGCGUCUCGGUUCGGAUUGUAGGCUGAAACUCGCCUACAUGAAGGUGGAGUUGCUAGUAAUCGCGGAUCAGCAUUGCCGCGGUGAAUACGUUCCCGGGCCUUGUACACACCGCGCAUA